UACGUAGGGUGCGAGCGUUGUCCGGAAUUAUUGGGCGUAAAGGGCUCGUAGGCGGUUUGUCACGUCGGGAGUGAAAACUCGGGGCUUAACCCCGAGCCUGCUUCCGAUACGGGCAGACUAGAGGUAUGCAGGGGAGAACGGAAUUCCUGGUGUAGCGGUGAAAUGCGCAGAUAUCAGGAAGAACACCCGUGGCGAAGGCGGCUCUCUGGGACGGUACUGACGCUGAGACGCGAAAGCGUGGGGAGCGAACAGG
Molecule: ribosomal RNA, 253 nt
Filed under: uncultured bacterium
Lineage: Bacteria
Description: partial 16S ribosomal RNA
Rfam family: Bacterial small subunit ribosomal RNA
Source: RNAcentral